AACGUAGGUGGCAAGCGUUAUCCGGAAUUAUUGGGUUUAAAGGGUGCGUAGGCGGCCCUGUAAGUCAGUGCUGAAAUAUCCCAGCUUAACUGGGAGGGUGGCAUUGAUACUGCGGGGCUAGAGUACAGAUGAGGUAGGCGGAAUUGACGGUGUAGCGGUGAAAUGCUUAGAUAUCGUCAAGAACACCUAUAGCGAAGGCAGCUUACUAGGCUGUAACUGACGCUGAGGCACGAAAGUGUGGGGAUCAAACAGG
RNAcentral lists this ribosomal RNA (253 nucleotides) under uncultured bacterium. Its description in RNAcentral is "partial 16S ribosomal RNA". It matches the Rfam family "Bacterial small subunit ribosomal RNA", at positions 524 to 776 of the family's 1533-position model. The record is from RNAcentral.